AGCGUACACGGUGGAUGCCCUGGCAGUCAGAGGCGAUGAAGGACGUGCUAAUCUGCGAUAAGCGUCGGUAAGGUGAUAUGAACCGUUAUAACCGGCGAUUUCCGAAUGGGGAAACCCAGUGUGUUUCGACACACUAUCAUUAACUGAAUCCAUAGGUUAAUGAGGCGAACCGGGGGAACUGAAACAUCUAAGUACCCCGAGGAAAAGAAAUCAACCGAGAUUCCCCCAGUAGCGGCGAGCGAACGGGGAGCAGCCCAGAGCCUGAAUCAGUGUGUGUGUUAGUGGAAGCGUCUGGAAAGGCGCGCGAUACAGGGUGACAGCCCCGUACACAAAAAUGCACAUACUGUGAGCUCGAUGAGUAGGGCGGGACACGUGGUAUCCUGUCUGAAUAUGGGGGGACCAUCCUCCAAGGCUAAAUACUCCUGACUGACCGAUAGUGAACCAGUACCGUGAGGGAAAGGCGAAAAGAACCCCGGCGAGGGGAGUGAAAAAGAACCUGAAACCGUGUACGUACAAGCAGUGGGAGCACGCUUAGGCGUGUGACUGCGUACCUUUUGUAUAAUGGGUCAGCGACUUAUAUUCUGUAGCAAGGUUAACCGAAUAGGGGAGCCGAAGGGAAACCGAGUCUUAACUGGGCGUUAAGUUGCAGGGUAUAGACCCGAAACCCGGUGAUCUAGCCAUGGGCAGGUUGAAGGUUGGGUAACACUAACUGGAGGACCGAACCGACUAAUGUUGAAAAAUUAGCGGAUGACUUGUGGCUGGGGGUGAAAGGCCAAUCAAACCGGGAGAUAGCUGGUUCUCCCCGAAAGCUAUUUAGGUAGCGCCUCGUGAAUUCAUCUCCGGGGGUAGAGCACUGUUUCGGCAAGGGGGUCAUCCCGACUUACCAACCCGAUGCAAACUGCGAAUACCGGAGAAUGUUAUCACGGGAGACACACGGCGGGUGCUAACGUCCGUCGUGAAGAGGGAAACAACCCAGACCGCCAGCUAAGGUCCCAAAGUCAUGGUUAAGUGGGAAACGAUGUGGGAAGGCCCAGACAGCCAGGAUGUUGGCUUAGAAGCAGCCAUCAUUUAAAGAAAGCGUAAUAGCUCACUGGUCGAGUCGGCCUGCGCGGAAGAUGUAACGGGGCUAAACCAUGCACCGAAGCUGCGGCAGCGACGCUUAUGCGUUGUUGGGUAGGGGAGCGUUCUGUAAGCCUGCGAAGGUGUGCUGUGAGGCAUGCUGGAGGUAUCAGAAGUGCGAAUGCUGACAUAAGUAACGAUAAAGCGGGUGAAAAGCCCGCUCGCCGGAAGACCAAGGGUUCCUGUCCAACGUUAAUCGGGGCAGGGUGAGUCGACCCCUAAGGCGAGGCCGAAAGGCGUAGUCGAUGGGAAACAGGUUAAUAUUCCUGUACUUGGUGUUACUGCGAAGGGGGGACGGAGAAGGCUAUGUUGGCCGGGCGACGGUUGUCCCGGUUUAAGCGUGUAGGCUGGUUUUCCAGGCAAAUCCGGAAAACUAAGGCUGAGGCGUGAUGACGAGGCACUACGGUGCUGAAGCAACAAAUGCCCUGCUUCCAGGAAAAGCCUCUAAGCAUCAGGUAACAUCAAAUCGUACCCCAAACCGACACAGGUGGUCAGGUAGAGAAUACCAAGGCGCUUGAGAGAACUCGGGUGAAGGAACUAGGCAAAAUGGUGCCGUAACUUCGGGAGAAGGCACGCUGAUAUGUAGGUGAAGUCCCUCGCGGAUGGAGCUGAAAUCAGUCGAAGAUACCAGCUGGCUGCAACUGUUUAUUAAAAACACAGCACUGUGCAAACACGAAAGUGGACGUAUACGGUGUGACGCCUGCCCGGUGCCGGAAGGUUAAUUGAUGGGGUUAGCGCAAGCGAAGCUCUUGAUCGAAGCCCCGGUAAACGGCGGCCGUAACUAUAACGGUCCUAAGGUAGCGAAAUUCCUUGUCGGGUAAGUUCCGACCUGCACGAAUGGCGUAAUGAUGGCCAGGCUGUCUCCACCCGAGACUCAGUGAAAUUGAACUCGCUGUGAAGAUGCAGUGUACCCGCGGCAAGACGGAAAGACCCCGUGAACCUUUACUAUAGCUUGACACUGAACAUUGAGCCUUGAUGUGUAGGAUAGGUGGGAGGCUUUGAAGUGUGGACGCCAGUCUGCAUGGAGCCGACCUUGAAAUACCACCCUUUAAUGUUUGAUGUUCUAACGUUGACCCGUAAUCCGGGUUGCGGACAGUGUCUGGUGGGUAGUUUGACUGGGGCGGUCUCCUCCUAAAGAGUAACGGAGGAGCACGAAGGUUGGCUAAUCCUGGUCGGACAUCAGGAGGUUAGUGCAAUGGCAUAAGCCAGCUUGACUGCGAGCGUGACGGCGCGAGCAGGUGCGAAAGCAGGUCAUAGUGAUCCGGUGGUUCUGAAUGGAAGGGCCAUCGCUCAACGGAUAAAAGGUACUCCGGGGAUAACAGGCUGAUACCGCCCAAGAGUUCAUAUCGACGGCGGUGUUUGGCACCUCGAUGUCGGCUCAUCACAUCCUGGGGCUGAAGUAGGUCCCAAGGGUAUGGCUGUUCGCCAUUUAAAGUGGUACGCGAGCUGGGUUUAGAACGUCGUGAGACAGUUCGGUCCCUAUCUGCCGUGGGCGCUGGAGAACUGAGGGGGGCUGCUCCUAGUACGAGAGGACCGGAGUGGACGCAUCACUGGUGUUCGGGUUGUCAUGCCAAUGGCACUGCCCGGUAGCUAAAUGCGGAAGAGAUAAGUGCUGAAAGCAUCUAAGCACGAAACUUGCCCCGAGAUGAGUUCUCCCUGACUCCUUGA
This 2787-nucleotide ribosomal RNA is filed under the name Escherichia coli. RNAcentral's name for it is "bacterial LSU rRNA". It matches the Rfam family "Bacterial large subunit ribosomal RNA". The record is from RNAcentral. Lineage: Bacteria; Pseudomonadati; Pseudomonadota; Gammaproteobacteria; Enterobacterales; Enterobacteriaceae.